Nothobranchius furzeri (turquoise killifish) is the source of this 1923-nucleotide non-coding RNA. The record is from RefSeq and is a predicted model, not a curated record. NCBI's taxonomy places the organism in Eukaryota, Metazoa, Chordata, Actinopteri, Cyprinodontiformes, Nothobranchiidae.
GGCGUUCCAGCUGCCCCGUGGAGCUGCCAGAGGAUGUCAUCCUGCCACCAUUCCAGAUCCAUCAGGCGGGCGUGGGCCUCCAGCAGCCGCCGGGACUCCACCAGACGCUCCGUCUCCAACACCAUGCUCUGAACUAGAAAUUUCACAUAAAGGGAGACGACUCCUGCAGAGCAUCUCACCAGAGUAAAGUCGAGGCAGGUUGCUGACGGCGGCGAGGAGCUGGCGGUGGUUGAUGGAGACCUCCCUCAGCCUAUCGAGAGAUUUAACACAGUCCAUGUUUCCAUCCGACUCCAGCCCUGCUGCUUUCAGAGUGUGCGAGACCUCCUUCAGCUCGGUUCUGGCCUCCCGGAGCUGCUCCAAACCCCAGCCCACGCCCUCCAGUCUGGCGUGAACGGAGGCGGUCCUCUGACUCUCCCGCUUCCUGUAUUGGCUCAGUCGCUCCAGAUGUUCAGGCUGACAGAAAACCCCCGACGCCCACUUCAGGGCAGCACCCCGGGCCAAGCGCUCCGCCCGCUCCACCUCUGGCCACACAGCAGCCUCUGGCAUUGAGAAAAACACACAAGUCCUUAAAGCAUUUUUCCUUUUUGCAAAAAAGCUUCAAACUGAUGCUUCGCACGUUUCCAUCACUACAAAUGUGUCUUCAGAUGAACUAUCCUCGUUCUGGAGGUUUUUGAAGCGGGGCACGACCUUCCCUACGACAAAAGAAAAGAAAAAAAAUACGUGCAAACCAGCAAACAUUUGAUCCUGUGAAGCUUCAUCAUCAUCACUGUUGGAGAGAGGAAACUCGGCAUGCUCCGAGGUUUGGUCCCAGCUGGGCCGCUGACGCUCUGCUGUAAUUUAAUCUGUUUUUAAUCCAUUUCUCAUUUAGCAGCAGAAGAAACAUCUUCACUAAAGCUGCAGAGCUUAUUGUGGAGGUUUCUACUAAUCAACGCUGCAUUCAGUCAAGAAAAGACAAAUGUCGUCAUUACAGGGUGGUACUGGGACAGGAAGUCUUAAUGCUUUUUAUGUGGCUUCCUCCCAAAACAAGUUUAAGUCUUCUGACCUAAGUGGUCUAAAGAGUAAGAAACACGAGAAAAGGAUGCGAUCAGAUGACGGAAACAAAACAAACAGGAAGAUUUCUGCUCUUUAUGUUCGUGCAUUUUUUUUCCCGGGACUGCGCUGCUCUGGGUGGCUGCAUGUUGGAGUAGCUCUGUUGACUAAAUGUAAGUUUUGCCUUUUUUUAGACAUUUUUUCUUCUAGUUUCUCAAGAAAAACUGUAUUUUUUGUACACUUUACUUUUCUGUUUCUGGUGCUGUGAAGCUUGGAGGAUUUUUACUGCUAUUUUUUUUAUUUUUUUAGCUUUUUUCACUUUUUGAGCAUUUGUUAUGAUGCGUAACCAUGGCAACAAGCUGGUUUACAAUCAGAGCAGCUGAUUAACAUUGGAAAGGCUGAAAUAAUACCUCAACUGAAGCCACAAAUCCCAAAUGAGCUAAAACGUAAAAAGCGUGGGUGCAGAGCGGGAGCAAAACGGAGACAGAGAAAGAGGAAAUUCAAACCAUCUCUUCCAUCGAUCAUAACGGGCAAUGUGAGAUCACUGGCCAACAAGACGGAGGAACUCCAAGCCCUUUGAAGGACUCAGCCAGAGUUUCGGCAGUUUCGGAACCGCUGGAGGAGAUAAUGCAAAGAAGGAUUCUCCAGAGAAUCGAGAACAUGAUGGACAACCCUGAGCGUUCUCUUCACAAGACUGUCCGACAACAGAAGAGAGUCUUCAGUCAGAGGCUUCUUCAGUUUCACUGCAACACUGACCGCUACUGGAGAUCCUUCCUGCCAACAGCCGUUGUAAUAUACAACAACUCUUUGAUGACCUGAUUAAUAUUAUUAUUAUUCUGAGCUACUACAGCAAUCAGUUUCCCUCUGGGAUUAAUAAAGUAUUUUUGAAUUGAA